This 537-nucleotide ribosomal RNA is filed under the name Klebsiella pneumoniae. Its description in RNAcentral is "partial 23S ribosomal RNA". It matches the Rfam family "Bacterial large subunit ribosomal RNA", at positions 911 to 1445 of the family's 2925-position model. The record is from RNAcentral. Lineage: Bacteria; Pseudomonadati; Pseudomonadota; Gammaproteobacteria; Enterobacterales; Enterobacteriaceae.
UGUUUCGGCUAGGGGGUCAUCCCGACUUACCAACCCGAUGCAAACUACGAAUACCGAAGAAUGUUAUCACGGGAGACACACGGCGGGUGCUAACGUCCGUCGUGAAGAGGGAAACAACCCAGACCGCCAGCUAAGGUCCCAAAGUCAUGGUUAAGUGGGAAACGAUGUGGGAAGGCACAGACAGCCAGGAUGUUGGCUUAGAAGCAGCCAUCAUUUAAAGAAAGCGUAAUAGCUCACUGGUCGAGUCGGCCUGCGCGGAAGAUGUAACGGGGCUAAACCAUGCACCGAAGCUGCGGCAGCGACACUAUGUGUUGUUGGGUAGGGGAGCGUUCUGUAAGCCUGCGAAGGUGUGCUGUGAGGCAUGCUGGAGGUAUCAGAAGUGCGAAUGCUGACAUAAGUAACGAUAAAGCGGGUGAAAAGCCCGCUCGCCGGAAGACCAAGGGUUCCUGUCCAACGUUAAUCGGGGCAGGGUGAGUCGACCCCUAAGGCGAGGCCGAAAGGCGUAGUCGAUGGGAAACAGGUUAAUAUUCCUGUACU